GCGGGUGUAGCUCAAUGGCAGAGCAGAAGCUUCCCAAGCUUACGACGAGGGUUCGAUCCCCUUCACCCGCUCCA
This 74-nucleotide transfer RNA is filed under the name Betaproteobacteria bacterium. RNAcentral's name for it is "tRNA-Gly". It matches the Rfam family "tRNA". Rfam says of the family: Transfer RNA (tRNA) molecules are approximately 80 nucleotides in length. Their secondary structure includes four short double-helical elements and three loops (D, anti-codon, and T loops). Lineage: Bacteria; Pseudomonadati; Pseudomonadota; Betaproteobacteria. The record is from RNAcentral. RNAcentral also lists the same sequence under 2 other names.